This 468-nucleotide ribosomal RNA is filed under the name uncultured bacterium. Its description in RNAcentral is "partial 16S ribosomal RNA". It matches the Rfam family "Bacterial small subunit ribosomal RNA", at positions 28 to 507 of the family's 1533-position model. The record is from RNAcentral.
GACGAACGCUGGCGGCGUGCUUAACACAUGCAAGUCGAACGGAAAGGCCCUGCUUUUGUGGGGUGCUCGAGUGGCGAACGGGUGAGUAACACGUGAGUAACCUGCCCUUGACUUUGGGAUAACUUCAGGAAACUGGGGCUAAUACCGGAUAGGAGCUCCUGCUGCAUGGCGGGGGUUGGAAAGUUUCGGCGGUUGGGGAUGGACUCGCGGCUUAUCAGCUUGUUGGCGGGGUAGUGGCUUACCAAGGCUUUGACGGGUAGCCGGCCUGAGAGGGUGACCGGCCACAUUGGGACUGAGAUACGGCCCAGACUCCUACGGGAGGCAGCAGUGGGGAAUAUUGCACAAUGGGCGGAAGCCUGAUGCAGCAACGCCGCGUGCGGGAUGACGGCCUUCGGGUUGUAAACCGCUUUCGCCUGUGACGAAGCGUGAGUGACGGUAAUGGGUAAAGAAGCACCGGCUAACCACGUG